CCAUCGAACACUUUUUAAACACCAAACGUUUCUUCUGAGAAAACUUUGUGUCUCACAAUCGACAAGUAUGUUCCUACAAUGCCCAAAUGUCGCUGUGGCAGCAGGAGUGGAUCUGCACUGUCGUAAGGAAGCGUGCCGCAUUCAUCAAGUGUCCCUGCUGCAGGGAGGACAAGGCUAAAUUAGGACAUCUAGGUGCUACACAGGGCGCAGGUGUGUGUGUCUCGCCCCGUGGUCAAGGAAAGUGUUGAUGAGGAUGGCAAAGUACAGGUAAAUAUGACUAUCAUACUAAGCUGUGUGUCCUCUAAUGUCACACCUGCAGUAGCAGAGGCACCCAUUCCUUCCUGUGUCCCAAAGCCACAUGUCACUUCUCCAUCUGAACCAAUAACCACCCAGUGGAGCAACACCAGCGUGUUCAUCACCAGGUGGUGAAGACAAACUGAGUUCAAGAAUGGUCGAAGGCCAUUGAAUCAGGUCAUCGAAUAGCCUUGAGCUUGGGAGAAGCAGGGGAGCGUCUGUCUCGCCCCACUUUGAAAGAGACUGUGGAUGAGGAUGGCUAAGUGACUAUCACCUCAUCAUAUGGAGAGUCUGGACAGCAUCUCUGAUUGGAUGAUUACCUGGUACCUGGACGACAUUUGUGGUGUGUGGACCCACUCCAGGGAGGAGUUCAGUGUAUUCCUGAACACACUGAACACCUAUAAUAAAAACAUCACCAUCAAGUCUCCAACACACCACCUGGACUUCAAGGUCUUUUCCAAGUAGACUGACACCCUCCUGUAUAAAAGCAGCUUCCACCCGAAGCACACUUUUGCAGGGUUGGUGAAAUCUCAACUGCUGAGGUUUCAUAGGAUCUGUACCAGGCGGGAGGACUUUACAGUAGCCACGAGGGCCCUCUUUUCAGCCCUGAGGAAGAGGGGCUACUCCAGGUCCUUCCUCAGGAGACAGACUAAGGUCUUCCUGGACCAGAAGGGGCCUCCCCCUGGAACAUCCAUGAUUCCUCUCAUCACCACCUACUCUCCUGCGGCCGUACAGGUCGCCAGAAAGGUCAAGAACAACUUUCAGGCCUUUGUGGAGAGUAGUGGGAAUCAGCAGGCCUAUCGAAAGAACCCCAAUCAAUGUGAGCUGCAGGUCAGGGCCCAGGUAAGCUCGCUCAGAGACUCGCACCAGACUUGGAAGAGCGCUCUUUUCUGCCACACACCGUGGCUUGUCAACCGUCACAGCAUGACCAGCACACAAACAAUUGUGUGUAGGUAAUUUCCUGUCGACGAUGGCACGUCAUGUGCGUUUGCGAAACGGGUACACUGACAUCUAACAUUUUUGGAAUUCCAACAGAAUCCAUCACAAUCGAACAGACGGACACAAAACUUUAGUUUUGGGAAAAGUUGUUAGUUUUAUCGAAAAUAUCCACAUCAGACAUUCUGACAAAUAGACAUUCUCCCAUGAUUGUAAAUGUAAUUUUGACCCUUUUCAACCGACAAUGUUUCUACAAGAACUUGUGACGUCAGAGGUCAGUCACGUGUCACUUAACUGUACAGCAACAUUAUGAGGAUGUAUUAAUUUGUAUUUUUAAUUUAGUAACAUUAUGGGAUGUAUGGAGCCUUAAAACAAACAAAAAUAAUAAUUUUAAAUAAACUGAAUUUACAAAAUAAAAUAUCAAAAGACCAACUUUCUUCCAUCAAUCAGAAUGUCUAAACAGCAUCUCUAUCAGUGAUUGGACGAUACCUUCACGUGCAACCGAAAUGUUAAAUCCCAUCAGAACAUCGGACAGAGUGGACGGUUAUUAGUUACAUCUCCAAACAUGUCACGUUUAGACAUUUUGACGAUGAGUUCAAAUGUAAGUUCGACACUCUUUAACUCUUUAUUUCAUUCGGCGUGUUUGCUGUCCAUUUAACUGACAAUGCUUCUACAUUCCUCAACGGUUAUUCUCUUCCUUUCGACGAAGACAAACGCUAGAAAAACUAUUAUUUGACACAAACGAUGGCGUCUGAAGCAACAUGCACUUUUAAAACAGUCACUUUUAAUGUUCACAUUACUUCGAAACCGGAGGAAAAGACGUUUGCGAAUGUGGCUGUGAAUCCCUGAUUAAGUCGUGGCAGAGGACGCACGAAUUUGUGACACUAAUCCACUGUCUGAUUAAUUAAACAAGAGAGAGCGAUGUAUUUAAAAAUAAACAACUGUUAACUAUUGUAACGACCUGCUGGUGUUAAUGUUUAGAGUUCACAUUGGGAAAUAUACCGUGCCUUAUAUAACCUGUUUUUAACACAAGAUUGGCAAUAAAAGUUUUUAAAAAAAAUUACUUUCUGGGCGCAACAACACAAUAUGCUGAAAAACGACACAUUCCAACCACAGUUUUGCAGCCUGCAUCGCCGCUAACGCUAAGAUAGAAUUAUGGAAGAUGCACGACGGGGUUUCAACUUUAGGUCAAUAUCACCAGCGUUGAUUGAUCUGACGGUGACAUUAGCUGUGUCCCAAUUCAAGGUCUGCAUCCUUCGAAGGGCGCAACGCUGCGGGAAGGCUGUCCCAAUUCAUUCAAAUUCGAAGGCUUCUCCAAAAGCAGCCGACGAAUGCACCCUCCUUUUCCCUGUAUUUGGAGGAUGCACCGCGACUAUCCUUCGUGGCCUCCCAUAUCCCAAGAUGCUUUGCGCGCCUUUGUUCAAACCGGAUCUUUUUGACGAUGGCGGCAAAUACAAGCAGCGGCACCGGCAGCGAAUACACUUUCAAAUGUAAGUAUCCUCCGCAGGCUAGACUGUUCCAUUUAAAAACGGGUGACGCAUCCUUCGGAGGUGCCUCCGGAGGUCCAGCCUUCUGAGGCUAAGAGGCCGGGUCCUCCGAAGGAUGCAGACCCUGAGUUGGGACACAGCUACUGUUUCUGUCGUAGGUUCAAAAAUGGCCAGCCACGUCCUUACAGCUUAGAUCUGAGACGUGUCAUAAAGCAAAAAAUGUGGGAACAACAGUCACGCCCCACCUUUACCGAAACUGUGGCUGAGAAGGGAAGAGUGAAUGUCACUCCAUCAUACGGACUGAAUUGGGACACAGCUACUGUUUCUAUCGUAGGUUCAAGAAUGGCCGGUUACGUCCUUACAGCUUAGAUCUGGGACGUGUCAUCAAGCAAAAGCUGUGGGAACAACAGUCACGCCCCACCUUUACCAAAACUGUGGCUGAGAAGGGAAGAGUGGAUGUCACUCCAUCAUACGGAGUCUUCGCACCUCUGUAUGAUGUCGACGUUAGCCUGGAGCCCAAACCCCCUAAGUUGUUUUAAAAAACUAGUUUGAGUAAAUAUGAAGGAAAGGGUAGGAGACCAGAAGAGGAGGUGGUUAACAUUUCUCCCGUACUGUACCUUUAACAGUUUCUCCAUGCGCAGUGUUUUAGCGAGGGAAGUGAGGGUUGUGUGUUACAAGUUUUCCUCUGUGCUGAGCGGAUAAAAUGUUCUGAAAGAGAAUAAACGUUGUGUUUAUUAACCUACAUUCAACAGGGGUUACUUUAAUUACCCUCUCCAUCCCUUUAUCCACCAUCUAUUUUUGCCCCCACUCUGCCUCUUUUGACUCCUACCUUCAUGUUUGUCCAAAGUAUGCUACACUAUGUCAACAAAACAACAACUUUACUUGUUGUCUUAGCUAAUAAACAAUUGUGCACUGUAUCUAAUGUAUUAUUGUAUUCAUUUUAUUUAUAUUGUAUAUUUUUUCUAUGUCCAUCCAUUUCCUACCGCUUGUCCCUUUCGGGAUCACGGGGGUGCUGGAGCCUACU
Entelurus aequoreus (snake pipefish) is the source of this 3741-nucleotide long non-coding RNA. RefSeq lists it as uncharacterized. The record is from RefSeq and is a predicted model, not a curated record. The transcript is spliced from 4 exons. Lineage: Eukaryota; Metazoa; Chordata; Actinopteri; Syngnathiformes; Syngnathidae.